This 23-nucleotide non-coding RNA is filed under the name Arabidopsis thaliana (thale cress). Lineage: Eukaryota; Viridiplantae; Streptophyta; Magnoliopsida; Brassicales; Brassicaceae. The record is from RNAcentral.
CUUGCAUACUGUGACGAAAUAUG